UGUGUGUGUGUGUGUGUGUGUGUGUGUGUGUGUGUGUGUUGACUGACUUGGACUGACGUUAAUCUGACCUUUGGACCAAGACUAACACUCCAGUAGACUUUACUGCACCAGAAAGGUGAACAAAAUUGAUGCUGCAAGACUGACAAGAUGCACACCAAUUAGACGACAAGCUAAUUCAAAUUCUUUCAAAAACAGGUCACAUUUCUACCUUUCAGGUAAGUAUUAAAGGCCUUUGUGCCGUCAUGGCAUGUGUCACUGUCUUUCUCUCGGUGUUCUGUCUGUCUCUCUCUUGCUGGUCUGUCUGUCCUGUGUAUCUGUCUCUCUCUCUCUGUCUCUCUCUCUUGCUGUCUGUCUUGUGUGUGGGGUCUCUGUCUCUCUGCUUUAACUCUUGUUGAGCUAUGCAUUAAAUGAUUCCUCCAACUUGUCUCCAUAACAGUAGUUUUCUCCCUGCAGACUUCCACCACCCACUGCUGCUGUUGCCUCUGCUAAAGGUAGCUGUAUCCUGGUUGACUGCGUCUUCAUGUGUUGGGAACAACCUGCUUCCUGCUCACAGAGACCUGGUCUGACCCGCCAUAUACAAAAGCCUGAGGCUGUCAAAAAAAGAUUGAUCUUCAUGAAGAUCGUCAAAGAGUAGGUGUGAUGGUUUAAUUCUGGGUGGCCGCCGUGUCCCCACUCUUUCUUGGCUGCUGUGCCUACAUCUCUCUGCAUUGUCCAACAUGGCCACGUUCUCUCUAUUCUCCUGCUUUCCAUCUGUCAAAUAGCUGAAGGUUGUACAUGGAGCAUUUGCCACAGGUUGGUUUUGUAUGUUCCUGUCCACUUUGUUGGGUGGUCUGUAAAUCUGAAUGGGUUGUGUGUGACUGAGAUGCCUGGAUUGAAUAGUCAAGAUGGUCUGAGAAUAGGAUUAUGUUGGAGUACAGUCAAAGCUAGAUGGUAGGAAUAAAGUUAAUGUUGUGCCUUGUACGCUCUGUCACAAGGUUUAGACUUCUUGGCCGCUGGGCCUUUCUUUUUUUCUCUUUUCCAACGUGGCCAUUAAUCUACCGUUAGCCCUAGAACGUUAAAAUAGAUCCUGGUGAUCUACAAACAUAGUACCUGGCUUUAGAUGGCAGCCCUGCCAUAGCCUUUGUAUGGCCAUACGUCCCUUAAUGCAAGUAGGCCAUGAUCGCUAACUGUGCCCGCGCCUUCGUGAGCUACUUGUGUUCUUGUACGUGUGGCCUUGCGCGUAUAGUCAUGUUACAUAGACAAACAUGGGUGCCUUCCGCGUCCAUGCACAGUAAGUGAACUAACCUGUACUUUUCUUCUAGCAUCAGUCAAGAGGAGCACCGACAUCCCUGCAUGUCCAUCUUAAUUAGAUUGCGUUUUUAGUUAAAGUAAAAUUUCAAAUGUUAAGUAGUUUUUCUUUCUUGCUUGGCCGCCGUGCCAUUACUAUACCUGCUCUGACCUGAGUCUUCAUUCUUCAUGGCCACUGUGUCAUGACUCUACUUGGUCUUUAUGCCAGUCUAUCAUUUCUGAUCUGUUUCCUUCUAAGUUUUCGUGUGUGUGUGUGUGUGUGUGUGUGUG
Long non-coding RNA from Solea solea (common sole), 1557 nucleotides. RefSeq lists it as uncharacterized. Lineage: Eukaryota; Metazoa; Chordata; Actinopteri; Pleuronectiformes; Soleidae. The record is from RefSeq and is a predicted model, not a curated record. The transcript has 3 exons.